Molecule: ribosomal RNA, 427 nt
Filed under: uncultured bacterium
Lineage: Bacteria
Description: partial 16S ribosomal RNA
Rfam family: Bacterial small subunit ribosomal RNA
Source: RNAcentral
UGGGGAAUAUUGGACAAUGGGCGAAAGCCUGAUCCAGCCAUGCCGCGUGUGUGAAGAAGGUCUUCGGAUUGUAAAGCACUUUAAGUUGGGAGGAAGGGCAUUAACCUAAUACGUUAGUGUUUUGACGUUACCGACAGAAUAAGCACCGGCUAACUCUGUGCCAGCAGCCGCGGUAAUACAGAGGGUGCAAGCGUUAAUCGGAAUUACUGGGCGUAAAGCGCGCGUAGGUGGUUUGUUAAGUUGGAUGUGAAAGCCCCGGUCUCAACCUGGGAACUGCAUCCAAAACUGGCAAGCUAGAGUACGGUAGAGGGUGGUGGAAUUUCCUGUGUAGCGGUGAAAUGCGUAGAUAUAGGAAGGAACACCAGUGGCGAAGGCGACCACCUGGACUGAUACUGACACUGAGGUGCGAAAGCGUGGGGAGCAAACA